RNAcentral lists this small RNA (28 nucleotides) under Bombyx mori (domestic silkworm). RNAcentral's name for it is "ovarian small RNA-11544". The record is from RNAcentral. Lineage: Eukaryota; Metazoa; Arthropoda; Insecta; Lepidoptera; Bombycidae.
ACGGAAAUUCAAAUAAUCCGAAAGGAGU